Long non-coding RNA from Dendronephthya gigantea, 799 nucleotides. RefSeq lists it as uncharacterized. The record is from RefSeq and is a predicted model, not a curated record. Lineage: Eukaryota; Metazoa; Cnidaria; Anthozoa; Malacalcyonacea; Nephtheidae. The transcript has 5 exons.
UCACUGAGGAAGAAAGACAACUUCAACAGAAUAUUCGCAAAUUACAAAACCAACUCGAAGCUAAAGAACAGGAACAUCGUCAAAGGGAAUGGAGACUUGUGGACAAACUGUAGGAAAAUGAUGUCACAAUACAGACGCUAAAUCAAUCAAUCGCAAACUUAAAGAGCAAGAUGGACUAACAGAACCAGGAAUAUUCCAGAUUAACUGUAGCAAAGGAUGUUGAACUGGAAACGUUGCAUCAACAGGAUGCCAAUAUGAGAUCUGAACUCGCGCGGAGAAAAAAUAAUUUUGAGAGGAGGCAGAAAGAGUUGUCUUUAUCUUUGGAAAGAGAGUCGUCGUUGGAACGUUCUAGGGCUGAGCUAGAGUUAGAUUGGCAGCGCAGAUAUGAAUAGGAAGAAAGAACUGGGUACAUAUGAUAAACAAGGAGAACUAGUUAAGAAUUUAACACAAGGCAAAGAAGAGGCGUUAUCGUUGGUGUAACAACAGAAACGUGAACUGCUUCACAAGGAUAGUGUUAUCCAUAUUUUGAAGACACAAAGAGAUGAAUCAGUUUCUAUCCUCAAGCUUCAUGGACUAACCGUGCCUUCCCAAAUAUCAGAUUUUAUCAGUCAUGCAUGUUUCACCAGUCGAAGAUGUUGGCACACCAGCAGCGAAUAUGAAUAAUAAAGAACUUCCAGUUCAGAACGAAAAUUUGCGUCUGUUAUUCAUCAAAUGAGAGAGGACAUGGAGGAUUUGACGAAACAGUUGACGCAACGUACCACUGGAUCGAUUACUAAUGCAAGAGAUGGCGUACCCAUUA